RNAcentral lists this long non-coding RNA (3267 nucleotides) under Cervus hanglu yarkandensis (Yarkand deer). RNAcentral describes it as "lncRNA (ENSCHYG00000007296.1)". Lineage: Eukaryota; Metazoa; Chordata; Mammalia; Artiodactyla; Cervidae. The record is from RNAcentral.
GUGUGGGGUCGAUGUACUAGGGCAGCACAUGGUCUAGGAAACCCCUGAAUGGUUGCUCCCAAUCAGGAGGCACAUGCCCUUGUCUUUGAACCUUGCUUGGCUGUGAGACCUGGACCAAAACACUAUCAUACUCUGUCCUGGAGCAUUGCCACUUAGGUGGUCACAGAUAGAUCUGAAGAUUUCCUCCAGCUUUGUCUUUGAGGUUCUGUCUGGUGUGUGCAUGCUCAAUCAUGUCUAACUGUUUGCAACCCUGUGGACUAUAGCCCUCCAGGCUCCUCUGUCCAUAGGAUUCUUCAGGCAAGAAUACUGGAGUGGGUUGCCACGCCCUCCUCCAGGGAUCUUCCUGACCCAGAGAUCAAACGCUUAUCUCCUGCACUGGCAGAUGGAUUCUUUACCACUGAGUCAGGUUGAAUAUGUGACGUCAUGCAGAAGUUUGGAUAAUAGGGUUGUACUGAGUCCUAUCUCACAGAUUUUUCUCCCCCACAAAAAGUAUGGGUGUACAUGUGGGUGUCUGUGUGUGUUUCUUCCAGUUUCACAUUCUGAUGCUCUUAGAUUUUCCAUAUUUUUUUUUCCUUAGUAGAUCAAAGUCAUCUUAGCUCCCUCCAUCUGGAAGGAGUGGAACUGAUGGAUGCAAUCCAUGGAUUCUGGGAAUCUUUCGUCUACCUGGUGACGUGAAUGACGACGUGGGCCCUGGCUGAACUUGAAGUCAUGAUUCUCUUCUCUGGACUCCUGUACUAUUCCAGUUUCCAGCACACAAGACUUACUGGUGGUGGCUUCUACUACCCCAGGGCAGCUGGAGGAAGAACAGAGUCCCCGCCCGGGCCGAGUGAUGGCAGCGAGGAGAGGCAGAGACUGCCAGGGGCAGGCGACGCCCUGCCCCUCCGCGUUCCUGGGAGGCCUGACAGACACUCGGAGCUCCAGCUGGAUAGAGUGGGGGAGCCGAGCUUCUGGAAAACUUUAGCUUGUUAUUGUGAAGCCUUGUGAAGCAGGGUGUCCUGGAGUGCCAGUCGUUCCUCUUGCACACAACUCUCUACCCAAGGCGCUCACCGUGCUCUGCAAGGAAGGGGCCAGCUCACGACCAGCAGGACCCAGCCAGGCUCCAGCCAGCAGCUCCCUGAGGAAGCUUCUAGCAUUGUUAGCCAACUUGUGUGCUUCCCAGGCCUUCCGCGGCUGGGCACCGUUUCCAGACCCUAUCUUGCCAGCUGGAGAAGCCGAGUCCAGCUCCCGCUGCCAGAGAGCUUUCAGCGGCCAAGUGGAAAAGCUGGCCUCCUCCCCUUGGGAAGAAGUCCCAAGUGAAAUUUGAGAACCUUUGGGAUGCAUAUCAACGGGACCUUUCUCCAUGUUUCUGUGCUCAGGGCCCUGGAAGCCACUCAAGGGGCACAAAAGCCUGGAGGACCACCCCACCCUUCCCCGGGCAAUGUGGGGUCAUGAGCUCUUUGAGGCGGGGGGUGGGGGGGGGCGCGGGUUGCGGUUCCCUCUGCCUCCAGUGCUUCAGACACAGCAGAUCUGUUUCACGUUAGGAGAAACGUUUUGAGCAUUACCCUGCCAGGUGGAAUUGUUUUUACAUCCAUCCUGAAACUGACAAUUUUUGUCUCUGAAAUGGCCUAGGCUGUAAUCAGAAGGUGUCAGGGCCACAAGUCCCUGUAUCCCAUGGGGAGUCAAGGCCCAGAGAAGCACAUGCCUGGGUGAGGGUCACCCAGCAGUUAAGGUUGGAGGAGUGCCCACACCCAGAUUGCCUCCCAUCCCCCGGGCACCACCCUGCUCAGUGCCGGCCACAUUCCUCUCCUAGCUCAUGGCCCGAAGUUCAGCUUCAUGAAGCCCCAGGAUGGCCUGGGGCUUCUUAGCAGCAAAGAGCAAGUCAGUUUUAGUUUUGCUGAACAGGUGUAGGCUCGAGAACCGGGCCCUGGCUUUCCCUGAGGACCACAAGACACUCCUGUCCCCAGCAUCCCCUUCUUUCUCUUGCAAAAGCGUGCAAACAGACACUCCUUUUCUGGGGGCCACUGGGAGAAGGGCACCGUUCGAUGCCCCACUUCAGCGGCUCUGUUGAGGUGACUAGAAUGGGUCCUGUUGUUCUCUCCAGGUCAGGCCAGGGCCAGGCAGGGUGCCUGCCAGGAGGACACCGUGGACAUUGAUGCUGAGAGCACUGCGCCUCCCUCCCCCAGCCUCCCCAGUGCACCUGUGCAGGAGAGACCAGGCUCAAGGCCAGGGCGCUCUGUCUCAGACCCUCCUGCUUACUCCGACUCACUGAACUCACACAAAGCACUUCACCUGGAGCUGGGAGGCCAGGGAUGAUCAGGUUUAUCCCUGAGCUGGUUCAGAGGCAGGAGCCUGCGUGGCAUGAGAGACAUCUGGCCUGUUCCUCUGUGUGGGAGAAUAUCUGUUUGUUUUCAGGCUCCGGGGAGGAUCUAAGGACAUGGCCAGGGGAGCGGGAGCAGGCUGCUCUCCCAGCCUCGUUUACAUACUCUAGUGUGCAACAGAGCACUCGAGGACGGAGAUCUUUCUCCAAGAGUGUUAUAUUCUGAAAGGAGCAUCAGGCAUCUUUUUCUUUUUUUUUUAAGUUCCUGUCUUGAGGAUUACCUAGACAAAUUCCCAUAGUCAGCUUCUGUCUGAGUAAAAACAAAAGAAAAAGUGGCUUUCAUAAAAUAGAAAUGAAAUAAAAUUACUUUAAUUUGUCACACAGAAAAAUAAAUCCAGAGUCUAGGGCUGUUUCAAUUCUCCAUGGGGUCGGAGCCUAGUUUCUUACUCUCUGCUUUACCUUCUUCAGCACAUGGCUCUACCUACCUAUGUGGCCAAAGAUAGCUGCUAAAGAUCCAGCCAUCAUAUCCAUAUUCCAGCCAGCAGGAGGCGGGGCGGGGCAUGGAGAAAGGCUUCCCACCUUUUGUGAGGACAUAUCCUGGAAUUCACACACUGUACUUUUGCCAUAUUGGCUAAAACAAUUCCAGAGACUGAAGAAGGUAGCCUUUAUUCUAGGUGGCUGUGUGCCCAGACAAAACACAGGGAUUCUUUUCCAGGGAAAAUGGAUAUUAGGGGACAAUUAACUAUCUCUGCCCAGCCUUCCUCUUGGAUGGGUAAUAUUAAAAGGGUUUAUAAUACACAGGCAUCCUAUUUAAGAUUGCAAUAUUAUCAUCAAGACUUGUUUUAGAAGCACAGACUAACAUUCAGUCAAUUCAGUUCAGUCACUCAGUUGUGUCCAGCUCUUUGAGACCCCAUGGACUGCAGCACGCCAGGCCUCCCUGUCCACCACCAACUCCCAGAGUUUACUCAAAC